GUGGCCAUAAGUUCCCUCCUAUUUUACUUGCGACGUCAAAUGUUUUGAAUCCCUGUUUCUUGUCUGUCGAUUAAGCCUAUCCAAGAAGCAUAAUUGUUGAAAAUAUAUACGUGUAAGAUGACUUUUUCCAAUUCUUUGUACUGCAAACUGGCAUUUGACUUAUUAAUUUUUAAAUAUUUGAAUUGUUUACCGAAAUUGCACUUUAUUUACACUUUUUUUUCAGUAAAUCCUUUUAAUAUCUCAAUUCUCAAACAACUUUUAGUGCAAUUUGAUCAACACGUCGGUCAAAACAUGCAAUAUGUUAUGGAUCAUGCUAGACGUACAGUCCCCUCUACCGAAUUUGUUACAGUAUGAUGAUGUGGCGCAAUUUUGAAAAUGUAAAAAUCUCGUAUACAAUUUAGAAAAGAAAAAAAGGAGCCAUUUUGUGAACCCUACCUUUCUCUAUCAUUUUCGUUCUCCCUCGAACACACCACCUGGUGGAAAUGGAAGGAAAAAUUCGACGACGUUGGCAUCAUUGACGCCGGCGUCGACACUGUAUGAACCCCACAUUCUUACUCCCAUCAUUUGAACUGGGCUUACGGAUUUGGAGAAGAAAUGGAAACAGAUAACUUCGUCGCUGGUGACUGCACUGGUAACAUUUAUUUUUCUUGAAAGAUGUUUCUUUUUUAUUUCCUGUCAUUUUUUCCUUUAUAGAACUUGAACUGCUAUUGUUUCAUCGAAGUGUUAAAGUUUGGGAAAAUCUGCUGAUGAAACUUCGACUGAAUACCCACGUUUGGGGAAAUCUGCUAUUGUUCUUGGUCGUUUGCUCUUCGUGCAUAAAUUGUAGAUGAUGAAACUUCGACUGUACAAAUAUGUCAAUGAAAUCUGGCGUUUAAUUCUUAGUUCAGAUUUCUGGAGCUAUCAUAUAUUUUCUUCUUGUUGCAUUUGUUUGAUGUGGCUACAAAUUAUUGUCAAGAUUUGCAAGUCCCUUCCUCCUAGGCCCAAUUCUUUUCUGAUUUUGGGUUCUAAAGCAGCUCACUUUGAAACAGUUUGUGUGAUUGUUUUGCAAUCGUUGUGAAACAGCUGAUUCUGUAAUGGUUAUUGGUUACUGCAAUUGUGGAGUAAAUAUAUAUUUAUUUUGCUUCAGUUCACACUUCCACCUACAAUGACCAAAUGUGUUUUUUUCUUUAUAAAUAAGGCUCUAAUUCUUUUGCUGUAGGCACUAUGUCUGAGUUGUUUCAAAUGUGCUGGAGAAAGUGAAUACUCAGUUGUUAUGCUAUGGUGUUAUGCAAGGAUGAUGUAAAUGGACAAGUCAGAUCAAGAAAGAAAAACGGUUAUAGAGCAUACUAUGGAGGGGACUACUGCCAUGUUAUUCUAAAUUAGUAAUGAUUGUUGAUUUAUGCGCCUAACUAGUAAUGGUGGUUAAGCUGUCUCAGUUAUUUGGUGCCGAAAAGUGAGAAUGCUAUUAUAAAUUAGUAAUGGUGGUUGAUUUGUGCCCCUUACCAUGUAGACAUUUUGUAAGCUAGUUUAUGGUAAUAUUCAUGUGCAUCUUGUGAUAGCACAGAGGUUGGUGCUUAACUGACAAUAAGUUAUUUCAUCUUUGGCACGAACACAUUUGUCCAAGGACAAUGGAUUUAGCUUUGAUGUAGUACAAGAAAAUUGCAAAAUUUUAAUGAUCUUGAAUCAGUAUUGCCAAUUGGCAUUCAUUUGCAAAGGCAAUUGCAUAAAUCUUGAUCAUUUUUGUUGGAAAGUGCUUAAACAGCUACAUGUGGACUGAAUAAUAGGUUGAAUAAUUGCUAAGGAGUUGCUUAAAACUGGAUAUGCAACAAGUGCUUGAAGACCAAGUCUUUAGGGAGAUAGUUGAUGCUAUUUUUUUGUUUAUGCUUUUGAUAUUAGGAAGCUGAUAGUCAUGCCUUGUAAUCAACAAAUUUCUUUGACAUUCUGUUAAACUUUAGCUCUAUACAAGGAGCUGUGCAGUGAAUAAAUAAAACAUAAGUUUCCUGAAAUCAUUUUUUUUCAUUUAUUUCUUUUUGCUUCUUUGUUUUACUCUCGAAUAACAUCAAUUCUAUGGGACUAUAAAUUAGUUCCAGUGACAAGUCCAUAGCUGUAUAACAAUUCUUUUGUUUUACAUUUUUGUUUUGUGAAAAAAAAAAUGGCUUGUGUCCCAGAUGUCUUCGAUUUCAGAUUCUGAAGAAAUUGAGCAUAUACAUCGGUUGGAUUUGUACUCGUCAAUAGAAGCCGACCGCAUAAUCGUUUAGAUCCUCCCAAACUGUUUCCUCAACUUCUUCCCAUGAAUUGGCAAUCUUAAUUCUUUCGACAGGCUGAAAAUAACUCCCAAUAUUAUUAUCACGACGAAUACAUGAUAUGAUCCCAGGUGCACCAUCAAUUCCCAAGAAUUCAUUAAUUGAUUGGAGAAGGUCGAAGUCAAGAACCGAGCCAAGUCGAGACUUUGAAGUAGCUAAUAAAAUUGUUCACUUAUGUAUUCGAGCAACGGAGUCUAAAACCAUGAAGUUCAUGUGUCAAUGAGUAAAUUUGAUGAAGGGGCCGAAGUCUAAUUCAAUUGGGAUUUGCUUGACAAUUGCAGCCGAAGACGGAGCCAAAAUCAAAGAUUGUAUGGCCGCACAACUUCCAACCCCUGCGGCCACAUAGGAGCAAACAAGGAAUUUUUUGGCUGUUGAUGAAGCUUCCAUGCGGCCGCAAUCACUACCACCAUGCGCGCACCACAGAAAAUCGGCUAGAAAAUUUCCUUUCCACGCGAGAAGAUUUGUUUGAGUCAAUUUCUUAUUUUUGGUAACUUUAAUAUUAUAAGGACUCUAAUUUCGUGUUUUACAAUAUUUUAGGAGUUUAUUCCUUUUUAAAUUAG
This 2842-nucleotide long non-coding RNA is filed under the name Olea europaea subsp. europaea. The record is from RNAcentral. Lineage: Eukaryota; Viridiplantae; Streptophyta; Magnoliopsida; Lamiales; Oleaceae.